CCUACGGGAGGCAGCAGUGGGGAAUAUUGGACAAUGGGCGAAAGCCUGAUCCAGCCAUGCCGCGUGUGUGAAGAAGGCCUUCGGGUUGUAAAGCACUUUAAGCGAGGAGGAAGGUUCGUUACUUAAUACGUAACGGAAUUGACGUUACUCGCAGAAUAAGCACCGGCUAACUCUGUGCCAGCAGCCGCGGUAAUACAGAGGGUGCAAGCGUUAAUCGGAAUUACUGGGCGUAAAGCGCGCGUAGGCGGUUGUGUAAGUUGGAGGUGAAAUCCCCGGGCUCAACCUGGGCAUUGCCUUCAAAACUGCACGGCUAGAGUAUGGGAGAGGAAGGUAGAAUUCCAGGUGUAGCGGUGAAAUGCGUAGAGAUCUGGAGGAAUACCGAUGGCGAAGGCAGCCUUCUGGCCUAAUACUGACGCUGAGGUGCGAAAGCAUGGGGAGCAAACAGGAUUAGAUACCCU
Molecule: ribosomal RNA, 458 nt
Filed under: Cavicella subterranea
Lineage: Bacteria; Pseudomonadati; Pseudomonadota; Gammaproteobacteria; Moraxellales; Moraxellaceae
Description: bacterial SSU rRNA
Rfam family: Bacterial small subunit ribosomal RNA
Source: RNAcentral